RNAcentral lists this ribosomal RNA (732 nucleotides) under uncultured bacterium. RNAcentral describes it as "bacterial SSU rRNA". It matches the Rfam family "Bacterial small subunit ribosomal RNA", at positions 765 to 1496 of the family's 1533-position model. The record is from RNAcentral.
GUGAAAUUUGGGUUAUUAGAUACCCUGUAAGUCCACGCCGUAAACGAUGAAUGNUAAGUGUGNAGGGUUUCCGCCNUUCAGUGCUGCAGCUAACGCAAUAAGCAUUCNGCNUGGGGAGUACGACNGCAAAGGUGAACUCAAAAGGAAUUGACGNGGGCCNGCACAAGCGGUGGAGCAUGUGGUNUAAUUCGAAGCAACGCGAAGAACCUUANCAGGUCUUGACAUCUUUUGACAAUCNUAGAGAUAGGACUUUCCCUUCGGGGACANAAUGACAGGUGGUGCAUGGUUGUCGUCAGCUCGUGUCGUGAGAUGUUGGGUUAAGUCCCGCAACGAGCGCAACCCUUAUUGUUAGUUGCCAGCAUUAAGUUGGGCACUCUAGCAAGACUGCCGGUGACAAACCGGAGGAAGGUGGGGAUGACGUCAAAUCAUCAUGCCCCUUAUGACCUGGGCUACACACGUGCUACAAUGGACGGUACAACGAGUCGCAAGACCGCGAGGUUUAGCAAAUCUCUUAAAGCCGUUCUCAGUUCGGAUUGUAGGCUGCAACUCGCCUACAUGAAGUCGGAAUCGCUAGUAAUCGCGGAUCAGCAUGCCGCGGUGAAUACGUUCCCGGGCCUUGUACACACCGCCCGUCACACCAUGAGAGUUUGUAACACCCAAAGCCGGUGGGGUAACCUUUUGGAGCCAGCCGUCUAAGGUGGGACAGAUGAUUAGGGUGAAGUCGUAACAAGG